This 497-nucleotide ribosomal RNA is filed under the name uncultured bacterium. RNAcentral describes it as "partial 16S ribosomal RNA". It matches the Rfam family "Bacterial small subunit ribosomal RNA", at positions 28 to 507 of the family's 1533-position model. The record is from RNAcentral.
GACGAACGCUGGCGGCGUGCCUAAUACAUGCAAGUUGAGCGCUGAAGGUUGGUACUUGUACCAACUGGAUGAGCAGCGAACGGGUGAGUAACGCGUGGGGAAUCUGCCUUUGAGCGGGGGACAACAUUUGGAAACGAAUGCUAAUACCGCAUAAAAACUUUAAACACAAGUUUUAAGUUUGAAAGAUGCAAUUGCAUCACUCAAAGAUGAUCCCGCGUUGUAUUAGCUAGUUGGUGAGGUAAAGGCUCACCAAGGCGAUGAUACAUAGCCGACCUGAGAGGGUGAUCGGCCACAUUGGGACUGAGACAAGGCCCAAACUCCUACGGGAGGCAGCAGUAGGGAAUCUUCGGCAAUGGACGAAAGUAUGACCGAGCAACGCCGCGUGAGUGAAGAAGGUUUUCGGAUAGUAAAACUCUGUUGGUAGAGAAGAACGUUGGUGAGAGUGGAAAGCUCAUCAAGUGACGGUAACUACCCAGAAAGGGACGGCUAACUACGUG